CAAAGAGUGAAGAGUGGCUUGAGAAUCCUUCACUGAAAAGAGCACCUCAUCUGUCGUGUUCAAAAAUAGCUUCUCUCAGUUGAAAGCCUGAGCCUGCAGGGUGGGAGACGAGGGAUUAGACCUCUGCUCUGUGAGCUGUGGGUGGCCUGGUCUGGGGGCCCAGGUAUUGUGAGAAUGACGAGCACUGCCCCUGAGCUCCAUCUUCAGCCACGUUCCUUCUCAACUGGAGGGCUCGGGUCGUGUGCGCGCUAGAUGCAGCACCAAUGGCACCUAGAGACACCUACUGCGCACACGCGACCCGCAUGGACAGUGCUACUAUAAAUCUCCAAUUGACGGCACCAGGACUUACCAACACCUGAAGUGGAGCACCCACAGGGACAGCACUCGAAGAAGAAUCAGUGGUUAUAUCACAAACCCCACUGUCUUCCUCCACCCCAGUGGAGGGGAAGGACUAACGCCGUUACUUCUUGUCCUACCUUCAGUGGACAUGGAGAAGAAUUGACCACAGUCUUCUUUAUAACAACCUUUAAUAUAUUUGAAGAUUAUUAUCAGGUCCCCCCUCAGUCUUGUUUUAGCUAUACUAAACAUAGCCUUUUUUUAACCUUUCCUCCUAGGUCAGAUUUUCUAAACCUUUUAUCAUUUUUGUUGCUCUCCUCUGGACUCUCUCCAGGUUGUCCACAUCUUUCCUAAAGUGUGGAGCCCAGAAUUGAACACAGUAUACCAAC
Molecule: long non-coding RNA, 725 nt
Organism: Malaclemys terrapin pileata
Lineage: Eukaryota; Metazoa; Chordata; Testudines; Emydidae
Exons: 4
Source: RefSeq, a predicted model, not a curated record